ACCUUGAUUAAAAUUGUAAUCUAACUAAUUUUUCUAUUUAUAAACAGAUGGAUUGUAACUGUGUCAAAUAGAUAUGAGCACUGAGAGGAAACAUUUAGUUUCUCUAAAAUCGAGUUUAUAUACUUAUACACCAUUCUUAACCAGAAUUUGCUAAUGAUGCAAAGAGAGGGUAUCUACUAAUAGGAACACUCGCUAGAAGCACAUCAAUUAAUGCUCUUGGCGAAGUUGGGCAUCCACUUGAAACUCCCUGUAUCUCUUCUGCUGCGUAAAUAUUUGCAUGCCAAUGGCCGCAGCUGCUGCUAAUUGGCAAACGCGAAAUCCGGAGACGGCAAUUCAUAUCUCUUCAUGUGUUUUUUUGGCACUUUCAACUUAAGGGGCAAACAUAUCAUAAAGACUCUGACAGACAGACGCCAAGAAGCGCUCUUUGAUAAGUAACCAAACUGUGGCAGAUAAGAAAGUCCCAGAAACGACGAACGGAAAUGCAAUAUUCGUUGCAUGCCAGGCAACAGAAAUAAGAAUGCAAAAGUAAAAUAAAAAUAAAUAUAAAAUGUAAAACGAACUGCAACUCAUUAAAAACGUUGGUUAACGCCAGUUGUCAGUGCAGUGACAUGGGUGCAACACCCAGGCGCAGAAAGGGUCAGCCGUUAGGACUUUACGGCUACACCUCAUUUUCACCUACCCACAGCUUUGAAUGAGUGACAUAUUGAUGGAUGGAAUUUCGGAAUUGCACAUACUUAAUAGGGCAAGCCCUCGAGAAGUCUAACGAAAAUGCAAAUAUAUAUAAUAUUCGAAAAUUCUGGUAAGUAUAUGGAGGUAUUGAACAGUUAAAAUUGAAUUAAUAUAUCUUUACCAAUUUUUAAGUAGAGAGAAAAAUCGAUAUUAGAUCUAAUUGGAUGUUUGUUAAGGCAUUUGGAUA
Molecule: long non-coding RNA, 916 nt
Organism: Drosophila mojavensis
Lineage: Eukaryota; Metazoa; Arthropoda; Insecta; Diptera; Drosophilidae
Exons: 3
Source: RefSeq, a predicted model, not a curated record